Xyrauchen texanus (razorback sucker) is the source of this 2649-nucleotide long non-coding RNA. RefSeq lists it as uncharacterized. The record is from RefSeq and is a predicted model, not a curated record. NCBI's taxonomy places the organism in Eukaryota, Metazoa, Chordata, Actinopteri, Cypriniformes, Catostomidae. The transcript is spliced from 3 exons.
UCUGUUCUUAAUUUCUUCUGUUCAGGUGAUUCACAGGAUGUCAAUCAUCCAGCUGUUAUUGCCGUGUUUAAAACUCGCUCCAGUCAAGUCUUUGAGCUGCUGCCAUGUGGUUUUGUGAUGGGAGAGGCUGGAGCAGAACCUCGAUUCAUGCAGUUCCACUCACACUUCCAACACGGAGCUCUGCUCACUGUGUGCUGGUCUGACGGCCGCAUCACUCACGUGCCAUUCUACUUCAGCAGUGCUGGUGUUUCAGGAGGAUGCUCACAGCUGCUGCCCAUCACCAGCACAACUGCAGAUCACUCCACAAACACCCUCUACACACAACACACUUCAUGAACACCUGUAACACUCUAAACAAGUGUGAUUACCUUUACAAAUAAACAUUGUGCUGACUGUCAAACAAUGCCAAGAUGAGUUUUCUUUACAAACAGCUGACAAUUCUGUACUAAAUCUAUACUAGUCAUUUUAUAGAGUUUGUUGUCCUUCCAUUCUAUCCAUUCCAGGGAGGAUGCCAUCUCUGGUUUCACAACAUCUGUGUGCUUUUUCUGUUGGUUUAAUACGAAAUGCUGGAAAUAUGCUGCUUAAUAGCGUUAAGUGUAUUAGUGUGGGGGUACUGACAUUUUUUGCGGAAGUUAACCGAAAAUGGGAACAGUGAUUUUCAAUUGUUCCAGAAUGAAAAUGUUAUUUUUAAAUGCUGGUAAUUUUUGGAACUACACCACUUCAUGUUGCUGAAAAAUGCAACGUGGGUUUGAUCCUGAAGGAAACUGCUGCAUCACACAUUUCUUUGUCUAGUUGUGUUUGUCCCAUUCUGUGAAUGAAGACUUUUCUAACAACUAUGUGUACUUAUUAAAUAUACAUGCACGACUAAUCCAGAUACAAAGAAAACAUUAUUAGAGUAAAGUACAUGAAAGUACUGCCGAGUUUUGACUGAGAAGCAGAUCUGUAAUUGAAAUUAUACUUAAAGGUUCACCCAAAAAUGAAGAUUCUCUCAUCAUUCCCUCAUGCCAUCGCGAUGUGUGUGACUUACUUUCUUCUGUGGACACAAAUGAAGAUUUUUAGAAGAAUAUUUCAGCUCUGUUGGUCCAUACAAUUUAAGCUCCAAAAUCCACUUAAGGGCAACAUUAAAGUAAUCCAGACACUCCAGUGUUUUAAUCCAUAUAUACAGAAGUGAUAUGGUAGGUGAGAAACAGAUCAAUAUUUAAGGCCUUGUUUACUUUAAAUUCUCUUCCCUGCUCAUUCAAUCUCCAUUUUCACUUUCAAAUUUUUUGUGCAUAUCGCCACCUAUUGGGCAGGCAGGAGAAUUUAUUAUAAGAAAUGACUUAAAAAUGUAUGGUUAUUUCUAAAGACUUUGAUUUAAUCACUGGAGUCAUAUGGAUUACUUGUAUGCUGCUUUCAACAUUUUGGCAUCCAUUCAAUUGCGUUGUGUGGAACUAUGGAGCUGAAAUAUUUUUCUAAAAAAUCUUAAUUUCUGUUCUUUAGAAGAAAGUCAUACACAUUUGGGAUACCAGGAGUGUAAGUAAAUGAUGAAUUUCAUUUUUGGGUGAAUUACUCCUUUAAGACCUUGGUUUUUUUUUUUACUCUAAAUCUCCACUUUCACAUCUGAAAGGGAAAGUGGAGAUUUAGAGUAAAAAGGACUUAAAUAUUGCUCUGUUUCUCACCUACACCUAUCAUUUCACUUCUGAAGACCAUGAUUUAACCACUGGAGUCUUAUGGAUUACUUUUAUACUGCCUUUUGGACAUUCUGAGUUCUGGUCACCAUUCACUUGCAUUGUCUGGACCUACAGAGCUAAAAUAUUCUUCUAAACAUCUUUGUAUUCUGCUGAUGAAAACAUUAUAUAAAUCUGGGAUGACAUGAGGGUGAAUACAUGAGACUUUUCAUUUUUUGGUGAGCUAUCCCUUUAACUGUUAAUUAACUGUCCUUAUCUAAUUAAGAUUCCUUUUGGAACAGAACUUAUAUUUUCAAGUAGGAUGACACUUCAUGGAUAUGUAAACAUAUUUCAAAGAUACUGCUCAUAAAUACAUAAGUGUAGAUAAUCAAAACCAGCAAGUACAACCCCUCCAUUAUUAUAGCAUGAUCAAUGGAAAUAUGUAAACGCUUCACACCCUUGCAUAUAUCGGUACUGAACUAUUGCAAGCAGUGUUUGUUUUAACUACACUAUUGUGUUUGGGUGAUGCUAGGCUAGUAGUAAUCAUAUCAUUGAACCGUAAAAAAACGAUUUUGUCAGCAAGGUUGCAUGUGAACGACACUAGUGGAUGUGUUUAAGUGUUAAAUUAAUUUGAAAAUUAGGAUCCACUUUAUAUUAGAUGGCCUUAACUGUUUGAUACAAUGUACUUAUUAUCUACAUACAUGUUGUUGCAUUGUAAUUACAUUUGUUAACUUUAUCCCAAACCUAUCUCUAACCCCUAAGCCUACCCUAACUCCAAAACCUAACCGCACCGCAAACUCAGUAACAGCAAAUGUGGGAAUGUUGCAGAACAACAUGUAUUACACAGUACAUACAUAGUCUUGUAUGUAUUUAAUGUUAGUACAGAGUAGUUAAUGUCACCUAAUAUAAAGUGUGACUGUGUAAGAGCAGUAGAAGUCUUGCAGACAUGUGGAAGCUGUAUUACAUGACAGAUGUGUUCAACUGAGUGAAAUAAAGUAUUUAU